CGAACGCUGGCGGCGUGCUUAACACAUGCAAGUCGAACGGAAAGGCCUUUUCGGAGGUACUCGAGUGGCGAACGGGUGAGUAACACGUGGGUGAUCUGCCCUGCACUCUGGGAUAAGCCUGGGAAACUGGGUCUAAUACCGGAUAGGACCGCACUUUAGUGUGUGUGGUGGAAAGUUUUUUCGGUGUAGGAUGAGCCCGCGGCCUAUCAGCUUGUUGGUGGGGUAAUGGCCUACCAAGGCGGCGACGGGUAGCCGGACUGAGAGGUUGGUCGGCCACAUUGGGACUGAGAUACGGCCCAGACUCCUACGGGAGGCAGCAGUGGGGAAUAUUGCACAAUGGGCGCAAGCCUGAUGCAGCGACGCCGCGUGGGGGAUGACGGCCUUCGGGUUGUAAACUCCUUUCGCCAGGGACGAAGCGUUUUGUGACGGUACCUGGAGAAGAAGCACCGGCUAACUACGUG
RNAcentral lists this ribosomal RNA (461 nucleotides) under uncultured bacterium. RNAcentral describes it as "partial 16S ribosomal RNA". It matches the Rfam family "Bacterial small subunit ribosomal RNA", at positions 30 to 507 of the family's 1533-position model. The record is from RNAcentral.